UUAUUUCUUAAUGUAAUAAUCGUACAUCAAACACAAGGGAUAUGCUUACAUCUAAGACAUAUUUGUGUUAUAAUCAUGGGAGCAAGGAAGGGGAAGAAAGGAACUGUUGAUGACGAAGAGAUUCCUCUUAUUGACUCUAUCAUGGUAGCUAUCUGGAACCCCCCCUUUCUCUGGGUUCAACUCCCCUUAUAUAUAUUAACAACUUUCCCUUUUAUCCAAUGGUCUUUGACCGGCAUAUUUCUUAUGACCGUACCCUUCGUCGUUUGCUCGAACAUAACAUUUGUUCUGUGAUGUAAGCUAUUCUUGCUAUCUCGUCCCGGGGGCAUGCUACCUCUUG
Molecule: long non-coding RNA, 337 nt
Filed under: Nicotiana benthamiana
Lineage: Eukaryota; Viridiplantae; Streptophyta; Magnoliopsida; Solanales; Solanaceae
Description: long non-coding RNA (NBEN_LNC014799)
Source: RNAcentral